This 253-nucleotide ribosomal RNA is filed under the name uncultured bacterium. RNAcentral's name for it is "partial 16S ribosomal RNA". It matches the Rfam family "Bacterial small subunit ribosomal RNA", at positions 524 to 776 of the family's 1533-position model. The record is from RNAcentral.
GACGUAGGGCGCGAGCGUUGUCCGGAUUUAUUGGGCGUAAAGAGCUCGUAGGUGGCCUGUCGCGUCGGCUGUGAAAACCUGGGGCUCAACCCCGGGCCUGCAGCCGAUACGGGCAAACUAGAAUUCGGUAGGGGAGACUGGAAUUCCUGGUGUAGCGGUGAAAUGCGCAGAUAUCAGGAGGAACACCGGUGGCGAAGGCGGGUCUCUGGGCCGAUAUUGACGCUGAGGAGCGAAAGCGUGGGGAGCAAACAGG